RNAcentral lists this ribosomal RNA (690 nucleotides) under uncultured bacterium. RNAcentral describes it as "bacterial SSU rRNA". It matches the Rfam family "Bacterial small subunit ribosomal RNA", at positions 169 to 859 of the family's 1533-position model. The record is from RNAcentral.
UCCCAUAACACUGCGAUGUGGCAUCACAAUGCAGUUAAAGCUCCGGCGGUUAUAGAUGGGCAUGCGUGACAUUAGCUAGUUGGUGAGGUAACGGCUCACCAAGGCUACGAUGUCUAGGGGUUCUGAGAGGAUUAUCCCCCACACUGGUACUGAGACACGGACCAGACUCCUACGGGAGGCAGCAGUAAGGAAUAUUGGGCAAUGGACGCAAGUCUGACCCAGCCAUGCCGCGUGAAGGAUGAAGGCCCUAUGGGUUGUAAACUUCUUUUAUACGGGAAAAAACCACCGGUCGUGUAUCGGUGCUGAUGGUACCGUAAGAAUAAGCAUCGGCUAACUCCGUGCCAGCAGCCGCGGUAAUACGGAGGAUGCAAGCGUUAUCCGGAUUCAUUGGGUUUAAAGGGUGCGCAGGCGGAUUAAUAAGUCAGUGGUGAAGUCCUACGGCUCAACUGUAGAACUGCCAUUGAUACUGUUAGUCUUGAGUAUUGUUGAGGUAGGCGGAAUGUGUCAUGUAGCGGUGAAAUGCUUAGAUAUGACACAGAACACCAAUCGCGAAGGCAGCUUACCAAGCAAUAACUGACGCUCAUGCACGAAAGCGUGGGGAUCAAACAGGAUUAGAUACCCUGGUAGUCCACGCUGUAAACGAUGAACACUCGAUGUUGGCGAUACACAGUCAGCGUCUGAGCGAAAGUA